GUCCACGCCCUAAACGAUGUCAACUGGUUGUUGGACGGCUUGCUGUUCAGUAACGAAGCUAACGCGUGAAGUUGACCGCCUGGGGAGUAUGGCCGCAAGGUUGAAACUCAAAGGAAUUGACGGGGACCCCGCACAAGCGGUGGAUGAUGUGGUUUAAUUCGAUGCAACGCGAAAACCUUACCUACCCUUGACAUGUCAAGAAUCUUGCAGAGAUGUGAGAGUGCUCGAAAGAGAACUUGAACACAGGUGCUGCAUGGCCGUAGU
This 264-nucleotide ribosomal RNA is filed under the name uncultured bacterium. RNAcentral describes it as "partial 16S ribosomal RNA". It matches the Rfam family "Bacterial small subunit ribosomal RNA", at positions 793 to 1055 of the family's 1533-position model. The record is from RNAcentral.